Molecule: unclassified non-coding RNA, 1282 nt
Filed under: Sporobolus maritimus
Lineage: Eukaryota; Viridiplantae; Streptophyta; Magnoliopsida; Poales; Poaceae
Description: partial external transcribed spacer
Source: RNAcentral
AGGUAUAUUAGGGGGAGGGGGUUGCUCCGAGAGGACCCUCCACGGUGGGAUGGGAUAAUCAAGGUAUGGAUGUUCUGACCCUAGGCACGGGUCCCCCUCGUGUCACAGCCUCGGUUGAGGUUGUACGUUAUGUCCGAAACGUCAGGGUAGCAGAGGCAACCGGACUUGGGUUACAGUUGGGUAAGAAAAGGUACCAGAUUUGUGGGACGAAUAAUGCAAACGGACUAAACCUGGCCUCGGGUUUGAGCGAGGCUGGGUGGACCGGUAAGGGAAACCUCAAACACUAGUGGGCUGUCCGAUAACGGGAAAGGUCUGUGAGCAGAAUUCGAUCUCAUAUUUCUGGUACCCGUCCAGGUUGUGGUCGGGCUAAGAGAAGGUGGCAGAUUUGGAUGCUAUUGACACGGGCCCCCUCGUGUCAUGGCUUCCCGAUGUUCUGUGCGAAACGUAUACCGGGUUGCAGCGGUAUACGAAAAGUUGCCUUGAGGUCAUGACAAUGGCCUCCCGCCCCUGAAAAAGGGGCUCGGGAAUGACCCGGUGUUAUGACCCGAACGUAAUAGCUCCCGAGGCUGCAAGACCGGGUUAGGGCCCUGAACGGAAGGGUGCUAGAUUUGCCGGGAUGAAUGAUGGAAACGGACUUAUCCCGGCCUCGGGGUUUGAGCGAGGCUUGGGUAGACCGGUAAGGGAAAACUCAAACACGAGUGGGCUGUCCGAUAAUGGGAAAUUGUCCGUGAACAAAAUUCGAUCUCAUAUUUCUGGUACCCAUCCAGGUGUGGUCGGGCUCAGAGAUGGUGGCAGAUUGGGAUAAUGCUAUUGACACGGGCCCCUCGUAUCAUGGCUGUCCUGAUGUUCUGUCCCAAGCGUAUACCGGGUUGCAGCGGUAUACGAAAAGUUGCCUUGAGGUCAUGACAAUGGCCUCCCCCUCCCCCUCUGAAAAUAGGGGCUCAGGAAUGACAUGACGUUACGUCGUGAACGUAGUGGUUCCUGAGGCUGCAAGACCGGGUUAGGGCCGUGAAUGGAAAGGUGCCAGAUUUGUGGGACGAAUGAUGGAAAUGGACUUGUCCUGGCCUCGGGUUUGAGCAAGGCCAGGUAGCUGGGUAAGGAAAAAUCUCAAACAUGAGUGGGCUGUCCGAUAACGGGAAAUGGCCGUGAACAGAAUUUGAUCACAUAUUUCCGGUAACUAACCAGAUGCGGUCGGGUUAUGAUGUUGCCGUGCUAUGCAGACCUUUGGUCAUCAUCCAUAACGUAGACUGAUCGUGUGCUGCAUGAUUGGAUGCUUGGACAG